This 353-nucleotide ribosomal RNA is filed under the name Streptococcus pneumoniae. RNAcentral's name for it is "partial 23S ribosomal RNA". It matches the Rfam family "Bacterial large subunit ribosomal RNA", at positions 1285 to 1636 of the family's 2925-position model. The record is from RNAcentral. Lineage: Bacteria; Bacillati; Bacillota; Bacilli; Lactobacillales; Streptococcaceae.
GAAGUGAGAAUGCCGGUAUGAGUAACGAAAGACGGGUGAGAAUCCCGUCCACCGAAUGCCUAAGGUUUCCUGAGGAAGGCUCGUCCGCUCAGGGUUAGUCGGGACCUAAGUCGAGGCCGAUAGGCGUAGACGAUGGACAACAGGUUGAUAUUCCUGUACCACCUCCCCGCCGUUUGAGCAAUGGGGGGACGCAGAAGGAUAGGGUGAGCGUGCCGUUGGUUGUGCACGUCCAAGUUGUGAGAUGAGAAACGAGGCAAAUCCCGUUUCUAGAUACAUCAAGCAGUGAUGGCAAGAGGUUUACCUCAGAGUCCCUGAUUUCACACUGCCAAGAAAAGCCUCUAGCGAGGCGGGAG